Molecule: ribosomal RNA, 232 nt
Filed under: uncultured bacterium
Lineage: Bacteria
Description: partial 16S ribosomal RNA
Rfam family: Bacterial small subunit ribosomal RNA
Source: RNAcentral
ACGGGUGAGUAACACGUAUCCAACCUGCCGUCUACUCUUGGACAGCCUUCUGAAAGGAAGAUUAAUACAAGAUGGCAUCAUGAGUCCGCAUGUUCACAUGAUUAAAGGUAUUCCGGUAGACGAUGGGGAUGCGUUCCAUUAGAUAGUAGGCGGGGUAACGGCCCACCUAGUCUUCGAUGGAUAGGGGUCCUGAGAGGAAGGUCCCCCACAUUGGAACUGAGACACGGUCCAA